Molecule: non-coding RNA, 750 nt
Organism: Paramuricea clavata
Lineage: Eukaryota; Metazoa; Cnidaria; Anthozoa; Malacalcyonacea; Plexauridae
Source: the annotation of a GenBank genome assembly
UAGUAGUUGGUUUGAGAAAUACUGUUUUUUCAACUCCAGUCUCAAGAAGGGGAGAUUUUAAUUGCUAGGGAUAAGCCAAUGUCAGUAAAAUAUCUGCAAUAUUAAUUUCAGUAUUGAUCAGUAAUUGUCGAGUCUCGUGAAUAGCUCUUAUUUUUGAAACUAAAAACUUCACCUAUGAGUUUUCAAACUGAUUUUCUUCAAAUCGUCCUGAAUUCAGUCAAAUUUGUCAUCAUUGUAUAUUUUAAUUCGACGGAUAUCGCAAUCUUUAUUAGCAACAGGAAAGCCGGAACCGAUAAUAUUUUUGUAUUGUAAGAUGUAUUUACUCUCGGUCAUCUAGCUGAAUGUAUUUGCCAACAAGAUAUCGUGAUAAUUGUUCAAAAGCACGACACACCUUUGGAGGAAAUAGUCCGCACGCGGACUGCUAAAACCGGGAUGGGCCGUUACUUUUAGAGUUAUUAACAUUUUUUAUCAAUGACACGAAUAACGAUAUGAUUUGAUACAAUAUUCCAUCAACACUUCCAUUGCAAUGACAUGAGCAAGAUGCAGUGUUUUGGGUGUUACUCCGUCGUAAGUGGGAAAACUUCUUCUGGUAUCUAUUAACAAGGGCCCACUGGUGGUAGACUGGUGGUUUUCUGUGGUCUAUUCGUUCAUGGUGUUCUAGUCUCUCCUGCAUGGUGGAGGUUUCUGAAAGUGCUAGUGGGUGACAAUAUUGUUGUACUGUAUUUCCUUCACAUUUUGCUCUCGGUCAUG